GUUUGGUUAAGUUAGAAAGGGCGCACGGUGGAUGCCUUGACACUAGGAGUCGAUGAAGGACGGGACUAACGCCGAUAUGCUUCGGGGAGCUGUAAGUAAGCUUUGAUCCGAAGAUUUCCGAAUGGGGAAACCCACCAUACGUAAUGGUAUGGUAUCCUUAUCUGAAUACAUAGGGUAAGGAAGACAGACCCAGGGAACUGAAACAUCUAAGUACCUGGAGGAAGAGAAAGCAAAUGCGAUUUCCUGAGUAGCGGCGAGCGAAACGGAACAUAGCCCAAACCAAGAGGCUUGCCUCUUGGGGUUGUAGGACAUUCUAUACGGAGUUACAAAGGAACGAGGUAGACGAAGCGACCUGGAAAGGUCCGUC
Molecule: ribosomal RNA, 367 nt
Filed under: Bacillus anthracis (anthrax bacterium)
Lineage: Bacteria; Bacillati; Bacillota; Bacilli; Caryophanales; Bacillaceae
Description: bacterial LSU rRNA
Rfam family: Bacterial large subunit ribosomal RNA
Source: RNAcentral